This 492-nucleotide ribosomal RNA is filed under the name uncultured bacterium. RNAcentral's name for it is "partial 16S ribosomal RNA". It matches the Rfam family "Bacterial small subunit ribosomal RNA", at positions 29 to 507 of the family's 1533-position model. The record is from RNAcentral.
AGUGAACGCUGGCGGUAGGCCUAACACAUGCAAGUCGAACGGCAGCACAGUAAGAGCUUGCUCUUACGGGUGGCGAGUGGCGGACGGGUGAGGAAUACAUCGGAAUCUACUUUUUCGUGGGGGAUAACGUAGGGAAACUUACGCUAAUACCGCAUACGACCUACGGGUGAAAGCAGGGGAUCUUCGGACCUUGCGCGAUUGAAUGAGCCGAUGUCGGAUUAGCUAGUUGGCGGGGUAAAGGCCCACCAAGGCGACGAUCCGUAGCUGGUCUGAGAGGAUGAUCAGCCACACUGGAACUGAGCCACGGUCCAGACUCCUACGGGAGGCAGCAGUAGGGAAUCUUCCGCAAUGGGCGAAAGCCUGACGGAGCAACGCCGCGUGAGUGAUGAAGGUCUUCGGAUCGUAAAACUCUGUUAUUAGGGAAGAACAUAUGUGUAAGUAACUGUGCACAUCUUGACGGUACCUAAUCAGAAAGCCACGGCUAACUACGUG